CUACGGGGUGCUCCAGUGAGGAAUAUUGCACAAUGGGGGGAACCCUGAUGCAGCAACGCCGCGUGGAGGAUGACGCAUUUCGGUGUGUAAUCUCCUUUUAUAUGUCAAGAAAAUAACGGUAGCAUAUGAAUAAGCACCGGCUAACUCCGUGCCAGCAGCCGCGGUAAUACGGAGGGUGCAAGCGUUACUCGGAAUCACUGGGCGUAAAGGACGCGUAGGCGGGUUGGAAAGUCAGGUGUGAAAUCCUACAGCUUAACUGUAGAACUGCACUUGAAACUUCUAAUCUAGAGUAUGGGAGGGGGAGAUGGAAUUAGUGGUGUAGGGGUAAAAUCCGUAGAUAUCACUAGGAAUACCUAAAGCGAAGGCGAUCUCCUGGAACAUUACUGACGCUAAGGCGUGAAAGCGUGGGGAGCAAACAGGAUUAGAUACCCGAGUAGUC
RNAcentral lists this ribosomal RNA (439 nucleotides) under uncultured bacterium. RNAcentral's name for it is "partial 16S ribosomal RNA". It matches the Rfam family "Bacterial small subunit ribosomal RNA", at positions 339 to 795 of the family's 1533-position model. The record is from RNAcentral.